RNAcentral lists this ribosomal RNA (253 nucleotides) under uncultured bacterium. RNAcentral's name for it is "partial 16S ribosomal RNA". It matches the Rfam family "Bacterial small subunit ribosomal RNA", at positions 524 to 776 of the family's 1533-position model. The record is from RNAcentral.
UACGUAGGGGGCUAGCGUUGUCCGGAUUUAUUGGGCGUAAAGAGCGUGUAGGCGGCCAGGCAGGUCUGGUGUGAAAACUCGAGGCUUAACCUCGAGAUGUCAUCGGAAACCAUCUGGCUAGAGUCCGGAAGAGGAGAGUGGAAUUCCUGGUGUAGCGGUGAAAUGCGCAGAUAUCAGGAAGAACACCAAUGGCGAAAGCAGCUCUCUGGGACGGUACUGACGCUGAGACACGAAAGCGUGGGGAGCGAACAGG